Molecule: long non-coding RNA, 1740 nt
Organism: Mus musculus (house mouse)
Lineage: Eukaryota; Metazoa; Chordata; Mammalia; Rodentia; Muridae
Product: predicted gene 20675
Exons: 2
Source: RefSeq, a predicted model, not a curated record
CAGCAGUGACUGACUUGAAAGCUGGCUGGGGCUCUCUUUGCACAGACUGGGGAGGGGGGCUGGAGUCGCGUUGAUGGUGUACCCUAACUCCAGCUGGGCAAGGCCUCAGGUUCCUCGGUGAAGAGUGUGGACCAGCCAAUGAGCCCUCCGACGUGUGGAUGAAACGGCUGGCUUUUGUUUAGUUUUGUUUUAACCUCCCCAAGGAGACUUUGAUCAGCUCCACCUCGAAAAUGUUCGCGAAAGAUGCGGAGAGCCUGAGGGACUGCGGGGCAGCAACGGGCUCCGGCCUAGCCCGGCCCGCCGGCCCCCAGAGGCUCCAGGUUAAAGGGCAGAGCCAAGGUCGCUGACGCCUCUUUUCUCACCAGUAACAGCUGCCGCCCAAAUUAUACCCCUCAGGAAGCGAAUGAAUUGUUCCUUUCUCCUUGCUCCCUGCUGCCUUCUCCAAAGCAUACUGUCAGUGGCGUCUCACCUCCCUCCUUCCCAGUGACAAGUUCAGGGGUGGCGGUGCCCUGCUGGAAGAUAGUGUGUGGGUGCCUUACCUCUAGAACUCAGUGGGACGCUUGGCUCUUAGUGGUCUGCACUGAGGAACCACCCCACCUCCCCUGCGGCUCCUCUGAACACUGGGGACAGACUGCGGACCGACCACUUGGGGUUCCUAGGGUGGUGAGCCCAAAGUCCAGAAGUCCCUUUUACGCAUAAAUGAAGUUCCAGACCGAGUAUAGAGGAGCAGUCGGCCUUGUGCCCUAAGCUGUAACGCUUGUGCGCGCCGAGAGCGGUUCUGCCAACCGCCUUGGCUUUGAUUAUGUUUGUCAAGGUCUUAGGGAGGGGUGGCGGAAGAAUUGACCACCCGUGCUAAAGAAGCGGUGCUGGUGGCUGCGGCGCGCAAUCGUGGCGCCCAGAGGGUUGCUUCCAUCUCCUUCGCCUCCAGCUACGUGAGAAUAACCCUCCAUUAGGAACCUGAAACACAAAUGCCGCCGGGUCCGGGACCAGGACCGGGACCCGGCUGGGUGUCCGCCCCCUCCCCCCCAUACCCAACCCCACUCGCAGCCUCAAGCUUCCUCCACCAAGGACUGGGGAGUCUCGCGUUCCAUCCUCGAGAAAAAAUCAGAACUCACAGUAUUACUAUUUUUCACGACCAUCUAGUUACACAAACUGGGGAAGUGGUUUGGGAUCUCAUUUUAUACGUUGUCACCGCUUUUGUUCACCCUUCUAAAAUACCAGAGUCCAGGUUUGAAUUCCCCCUCCCCCUUGUUCGUGUUGUACUGCAGCUUAAGACAAUAUGUUCAGGCCGAAAUUGGUUUUAAGGCCCGGUUGGCCCAGAAUUUACCAGCCCUGACAUCCUGUGCGCUGGGGCCCUUCUCAAAGUCGGAGGUUUGAGGUAUGCCCUCCAGGCGUCAUAACACAUCCCUCACCCCACAACUAACUCUCUCUCUCUCUCUCUCUCUCUCUCUCUCUCUCUCUCUCUCUCUCGUGUGUCUGCCUCUAUGCAUCCCAAAGCACAGACCUGGACCCUUCCUGAAUACCGGGACAGCUAGUAUGAGCCCUGUAAAUUUAAAAGGUUUGGUCUCCAUAAGCUAUCUUUGGACAAGCAUUUUUCAUUUACCAGUUUUUGUUUUUAUUUAAACCGGGCUUUUAUUUGCCCAACUAGUAACAAAUGGCUUUGCUCUAUCUCAGAGACCUACUGGGUAUUUAAUCCACAAUUUGUAAAUGAUUUUUAUAUAAAAACUCUGAUUUCACUGA